RNAcentral lists this ribosomal RNA (1071 nucleotides) under Triticum aestivum (bread wheat). RNAcentral's name for it is "partial small subunit ribosomal RNA". The record is from RNAcentral. Lineage: Eukaryota; Viridiplantae; Streptophyta; Magnoliopsida; Poales; Poaceae.
AUGGCUGGCGCGGGCGGGGGGACUGCUGCGGCUGCGGUGGUGCAGCCAGCCGCCGCUGCUGGCGCGGGGAGGAGCAGCUCUUCGUCGGCCGGAGCCGGUGGCGGUGGCGCUGGGGGCGGUCCCGUGGCGGACCCGCGGGCGGAGGCGCUGCGUUGCCCACGCUGCGACUCGGCCAACACCAAGUUCUGCUACUACAACAACUACUCGCUGUCGCAGCCGCGCCACUUCUGCAAGGCCUGCAAGCGCUACUGGACGCGCGGGGGCACGCUCCGCAACGUCCCCGUCGGCGGAGGCUGCCGCAAGAACAAGCGCUCCAGGAGCAGCAACGGAUCAGGGGGAAGGCCGGGCUCCUGCGCUGUCGUCGCCUCCUCCAACGCCGCUGCCGGCGGCAUCGCGUCGUCUACCUCCAUGUCGCUCCCGCCGCCGGGCUCCCUCUCCUCGGCGCUGGGCCUCCACGGCCACGGGAGCAGCUCCCUGGCCUCGCUGCUGCUCGGGAGCGGCGCCUCGGGCGGCGACCACCUCGGCCUCUUCCACGCCAUGCAGUCGGUCGUCUCGGACGCCACCGCCUACGAGAUGCACCAGCAGCACCAGACCCAGGUGGAUCAGCUGCUGGGGCUCGGCUACGGCGCCGGCGACGCCAACGGCUCGCAGAUCCACAUCAAGCCCUGGCAGCAGCACCUUCAAGACGGAGCUGGCGGUCUCUUUGACGGCUUCUACGCGCCGCUGCUGUCCGGCUCCAUCGUGCCGGGACUGGAGGAGCUGCAUGUGAAGGCCGAGGCCACCGCCGGCGAGCACCACCACCAUCACCAGAAGAAGGCGACCGAUGGGGAUCAGCAGAGCUGGGAUCAACAUCCAACGUCGUCGUCGUCUAACGUCGAGGCUAACAUCAUGGCCUCGGACGCGCUCAUGGCCGCCGCCGCCGCGGCGUCCAUGAACCCAGCGGUCAGCAACGCUGCCACGGCGCCGACGUCCUCCCCUCUCAUGUACUGGGGCAACGGGAACAUCGGCGGCUCGCCUGCAACGUGGCCAGAUAUGGCCAACUGCGGAUCCUCCAUUGCAACCUUCUUCUAG